UACUGUGACAGUGGGUUAGACAUCCACUUGUUAAAUAAUUCAAUACUGUGACAGUGGGUUAGACAUCCAAAUGCGGGUCCGUACGCUUCAUGAUCUAGAUAAUGUAGAAAUAAAUGAAUGGUCGUUGAAUCUAAUUGUAGUUUGCCUUUAAAUGAAAAUACCUUGCUAAAAUCUAAAUUAUCAGUUGCUGAAAACAAAGCAGGAACUCAAAUCUUGAUGGAGGGAGCAACCAUACUUUGGUUUUGCUUACUAUUUGUUCACCAAAGCUACACUGCUGAACUAGACACCAUUUCAGAUACAAGUUUUCUGACAAAUGGAGAUACGUUGGUCUCUGCUGCUGGAAUUUUCGAACUGGGAUUUUUCAAGCCAGGUAGCUCUGAGAAUACAUAUCUCGGUAUCUGGUAUAAGAACAUCUCUGAUAAAACGGUGGUUUGGGUUGCAAACAGAUACCAACCGGUCCGUGGUGCAUCACGGCUUGAGUUAAAGAUCGCUGAUCAAGGAAUUCUCGGUCUGUUCAGCAAUGACAGCAUGACUUGGUCAUGUAACACAACGGCAUCAGGGAACGUAACUGCAAAGCUUCGGGACAAUGGGAAUCUAGUUCUGAUUGAUCAACAGGAGAUGGUUCUUUGGCAGAGCUUUGAUUACCCAACAGAUACUUUUCUACCUGGCAUGAAGUUAGGGAGAGAUUAUGUAAGGAGAAAGGAAUGGCAUCUUUCAUCAUGGAAGAGUAGUGAUGAUCCAGCUCCAGGAGAAGUGACGUUGGCCGUUGACACACCUGGUUAUCCUGAAUUCAAACUAAGACAAGGAGGGGCCUUGAUCAAAUACCGGGCUGGACCAUGGCGUAAUAAAAUGUAUCCUUGGGGUACUGUAUUGAACAAGAGCUUAACCUUUAGAGUGGUUGUAAUUAUUAAUGAAGGUGAGGAGUCUCUUGGUUAUAGUAUUGAAGACAGUUCUAUUCUAGCAAGGGUUACCGUGAAUUCUACGGUGCAUAUGGAUAUCUCGGUUUGGGUAAACAAUGCUGGAGGGUGGAUAAGUCUCUUGUCAGUACCGACCGAUGCCCGCAAUACAUACAACAUGUGUGGUGCUUAUGGAAUCUGCAGCAUAGAUGCGUACCAACAAUCCUGUAAUUGCAUGGAUAAGAAAAGCUUUGUGCCCAAAAACCAAAAGGAUUGGGACACAGGUGACCGGUCAGGUGGUUGUAUUAGGAGAACACAAUUGGAAUGCAAAAAAGGAUUAGAAGGGUUUAUCAAGUACUCUAAUGUAUCAUUACCAGACACAAAAACCACUUGGUUUAACAUGAACAUGACUCUAGAAGAAUGUCACAAAAAGUGCUUACAGAAUUGUACUUGUAUGGCUUAUGCAAAUCCAGACAGCACUCGAAGCAUCUGCUUGCUUUGGUUCAAUGACCUCCUAGACUUACAACUUGGCGGUGCUGAUAUUUUUGUAAGGAUGGCUUCAUCAGAAUUAGAUUUUCAAUCAAUUUCGGGAAAGAAGCAGGAUGGAUCAAACAAAAUUAAAAUCAUCCUACUUGUAAUCAUUCCAGGGGUUCUUCUCAUAGGCUUGAUCAUUGCUACAUGGUUUUGUUAUGCACGGAGAAAACGGAAUCCUACCAAACCAGCAGGGGAAGGGAAAAUCAUGAAGGCCUCUAAAAGCCAAGAAGAAGAAGACAUCGAGCAAGCAAUAUUUAGCUUUUCUACCAUUGCUAAUGCCACUGAAAAUUUUUCACCUGUUAAUAAACUUGGAGAGGGUGGAUUUGGACCGGUUUAUAAGGGUAUGCUAGAAGAAGGGCAGGAGAUUGCAGUUAAGCGUCUCUCCAAGAACUCAAGUCAAGGACAUGAUGAGUUCAAGAACGAAGUCAUCUGCAUUUCAAAACUUCAGCAUCGAAAUCUUGUGAAGAUUCUUGGUUGUUGCAUAGAGGGAGAUGAGAAGCUAUUGGUCUAUGAGUACAUGCCAAAUAAAAGCUUGGACUCUUUUAUUUUUGACAAAACUCAAAGCACACUUCUUGAUUGGACAAAGCGUUUCAACAUUAUCAAAGGAAUUGCGCGAGGACUAGUUUACCUGCAUCAAGAUUCACGAUUAAGGAUCAUCCACAGGGAUCUUAAAGCUAGCAACAUUCUAUUAGAUCAAGAUAUGAACCCUAAAAUAUCAGACUUCGGCUUAGCUAGAAGUUUUGGAGGAAACGAGACUCAAGCCAACACAGAAAGAGUUGUUGGCACAUAGUAAGCGUGGUUAUAUGUCCCCCGAGUAUGCACUAGAUGGUCUUUUCUCAAUCAAAUCAGAUGUAUUUAGCUUUGGCGUCUUGGUGCUGGAGAUUGUGAGCGGGAAGAGAAAUAGGGGAUUUGUUCGAUCUGAAAAAGAAACUAACUUUAUAGCACAUGUAUGGAGUCUCUAUAAUGAAGGUAGGUCAAUGGAUUUAGUUGAUUUAAGUUGCAGUGAAUCCUGUCAUCCUGAUGAAGUCUUAAGAUCAAUCAAGGUUGGGUUGUUAUGCGUUCAACACAAUGCAGCAGACAGGCCACAAAUGUCAUCUGUAAUUUUGAUGCUGGGCGGCGAGGGUGAACCGCCACAACCAAAGCAGCCAUCGUUUUUCAUGGAAAGGCAGCAUGUAGAAAACUUCUCCUCAAGUACUAACACAGAAGGUUCAUCAAAAGAUUGUACCAUUUCGGAGGUAUAUGCUCGAUAGAAAACUAAGUUUACUGUGGCAUAAUUGUUUAUUGUUUCACACGUAUUAUUUGCAUCCAGUUCUAAAGCGAAGGGCUAAAAUUUGUGUACUAUUAUUUUUUAAUGGUUAUAUGUGUUAACGAAAAAAAACUAGUGGGCUCUUUUUGUGUUGGGUUUAUUGUUUAGCCCAUUUAGCUUGUAACGAUAGUUCAUCUAUCUAUAGUCUCUCUUUUCCUUGUUCUAUGUAUUCACUUUUCAUGAUAAUAAAACCCUAGCCGCUUUUCUUUUGUA
Molecule: RNA transcript, 2949 nt
Organism: Helianthus annuus (common sunflower)
Lineage: Eukaryota; Viridiplantae; Streptophyta; Magnoliopsida; Asterales; Asteraceae
Gene name: G-type lectin S-receptor-like serine/threonine-protein kinase At4g27290
Exons: 7
Source: RefSeq, a predicted model, not a curated record